RNAcentral lists this ribosomal RNA (580 nucleotides) under uncultured bacterium. RNAcentral's name for it is "bacterial SSU rRNA". It matches the Rfam family "Bacterial small subunit ribosomal RNA", at positions 338 to 916 of the family's 1533-position model. The record is from RNAcentral.
CCUACGGGAGGCAGCAGUAGGGAAUAUUGGACAAUGGACGCAAGUCUGAUCCAGCCAUCCCGCGUGAAGGAUUAAGGCCCUCUGGGUUGUAAACUUCUUUUUCUUUGGGAAUAAAAAAGCGGUAUUCAUAUCGCCUUGAAGGUACCAGAGGAAUAAGCACCGGCUAACUCCGUGCCAGCAGCCGCGGUAAUACGGAGGGUGCAAGCGUUAUCCGGAUUCACUGGGUUUAAAGGGUGCGUAGGUGGUCUGUUAAGUCAGCGGUGAAAGCCUGGAGCUCAACUCCAGAAUUGCCAUUGAUACUGACGGACUUGAAUCAAGUUGAGGUGGAUGGAAUAUUACAUGUAGCGGUGAAAUGCUUAGAUAUGUAAUAGAACACCAAUUGCGAAGGCAGUUCACUAAGCUUGCAUUGACACUGAGGCACGAAAGCGUGGGGAUCAAACAGGAUUAGAUACCCUGGUAGUCCACGCCCUAAACGAUGCAAACUCGACAUUAGCGAUAUACAGUUAGUGUCCAAGCGAAAGCGUUAAGUUUGCCACCUGGAAGUACGACCGCAAGUGGAAACGUCAAAGAAGUUAGACGG